UAUCCUCUCCUCGGGGAGUCGGGGCUGAUUCCUUCUCGACGGAAACAAACAGAAAAGGAGCGGACUGGAGCCUGCGCGCUAGGGUUAGAAAUUUAGGGAAAACCGGUGGGACGCAGGGGAGGCACGGCAGCAGCGGCGACGCGCCGCCGUCCUCAGCCAGAGGUCGCCGCAGUGCACAGGCACGGACGCACACCCACGGUGCGGCCCGAAGGUGCAGCGGCCGGCACUGAUUCGAGCCGUAUUCGUCCCUAAUUUCUCAAUCCAGGACGACAGAGCAGGACGCUAGGUUUCCCCACGUAUUGCCCGCGCCGCCACCCGCAGAAGCCCGCCGCCGCCACUCCUGCCGGCCGCCGGCGACCCUCCGCCUCCUCCGUCCUCGGCCGAACCCCGCCGUCCUCCCUCACCGUCCGCCCGACUCGGCCGACUUGCCCCUCUCCGCCCGUCUCGGUCUGCUCCCGCCCGCUCCUUGAAGGUCGACGGCGCUAGCAACUUCCGAUUAGUCCCCGUCCCAGCCGGAACACGCAAUCGUCGGUCGUCCACGACUCCGCCCGCUCCUCCCGGGCCGAGCUCCCUCAAGAGCUGCUCUUAAAUCAUGCGGCACUGGGGGGUGCUGCUGCUGCUGCUGCUGCUUCUCUGCACGGCCACCGGCGAGUCGGGAAGUGGUGGACCCGCAGGCCAGAGUAUCGGCGCGGGAGCAGCAGGGCCUCGAGGCGGCGUGACGGGAGGAGAGGGGGGCGUUUUCGGCUGGCCAGCGUCGCCUGGACGCAGCGCAGGAGGUGAGAAAUACGUACCUGUACUCUGGAGGGCGUCCGUCGCUGCAGCGGCGGUGCUCAUGUGGGCAUGAGAGAGCCCGGGGUAAAUUGUGGUUUUAGACAAUGUUCGGGAUAUCGGUAACUGGUAACUGAUCGGCCACCCUAGGAGAAACGAUUAAUCGGUGAAUCGGCAAGUUAACUGAUUUUAUCGGUUGCCCAUUUAUCGGUUUAGGAUUUAGGAAAACUGCAAACAUAUAUCUAGUUUUUUACAUACUA
Molecule: long non-coding RNA, 1028 nt
Organism: Lolium perenne
Lineage: Eukaryota; Viridiplantae; Streptophyta; Magnoliopsida; Poales; Poaceae
Source: RefSeq, a predicted model, not a curated record